RNA transcript from Selaginella moellendorffii, 2716 nucleotides. It is a transcript of the gene named amino-acid permease BAT1-like, with no coding region annotated. The transcript has 14 exons. The record is from RefSeq and is a predicted model, not a curated record. Lineage: Eukaryota; Viridiplantae; Streptophyta; Lycopodiopsida; Selaginellales; Selaginellaceae.
UUGACCAUCACUUAUUUGCCCAACAUCUGCUUCGCUUCUUCAGUCAGGUGUAGAGACGGCAGCGCCAGAUCCAGAUCUGUAGAGGCUAAGCGUUGUCGAAUUUGGACUGAUUUUGGCCGUUGCUUUGAGUAUAUUCACGGCUGUCGCAGCUGAACGGCAGCACCUUGGGGGACACUCGUCUUCACCACAUCACGAGGACUUGAAGAUGGAAAUGGAAGCGAGAUCAAUUCUCGCGACAAUGGACGAAGAGAAGAUCGACUCCGGCCAGCAGCGGCUUCAAGAGCUUGGAUACAAACAGGAGCUCAAGCGCUCCAUGUCGCCUCUAGCAAAUGUCGCGAUGUGCUUCUCAGUGGUGUCCAUACUUACUGGAGUCACUCCGACGUACAACACCGGCCUUCGAUAUGGAGGCCCGGUGUCCAUCGUUUAUGGAUGGCCUAUAGUGUGCUUCUUCACCAUAUGUAUUGCCCUGUCCAUGGCAGAGAUUUGCUCAGCGUAUCCUACAUCGGGCGGCCUCUACUUCUGGAGUUACAAGCUCGCAGGCCGCAAAUGGGGACCGUUUAUGGCAUGGAUGACCGGAUGGUUCAACAUUGCUGGAUUGUGGUCGGGAACAGCGAGCGUUUGUUUCUCACUCGCGCUGUUGCUACAAGUGACAAUCCUUGUAAGCACUGGAGGGGGUAACGGAGGCGGCUACUAUGCUUCCAAGUACGUGGUUGUCUGCAUUUAUGGUGCAAUACUCUUGCUCCAUGGACUGAUCAACGGGCUUAAUGUUCGAUGGUUUUCUUGGCUGGGAAACAUCGCUGCUUUGUGGAACAUCUUGGGUGUGGUUAUGAUUGGAGCUUUCCUACUGGCGCUUUUGCCUCGGCAAAAAGCAUCAUCAGUGUUCAGCAACCUCAACCAAGACAGCAGCACCGGGAUUCACAGCAAGCCAUACACAUUUUUACUGGGAUUGCUCAUGAGCCAAUACACCCUUUUGGCAUACGACUCUGCGGCUCACAUGUCCGAGGAGACAAAGACCGCCGACAAAACCGGUGGUUAUGGCAUCAUUGGCGCGGUUCUAGGCUCCGUCCUACUGGGGACUAUUUACCUUUUACCCCUGGUGUUCACGAGCAUUGAUGUUCCACACUUGCUAGACCCAGGCAAUGACACCAAAGGAUACGCGAUUGCGCAGCUGCUUUAUAAUGGUUUUGAGAGCCAUUUCCACGAUGCAAGAUGGAGUUUUCUCCUGUUGAUAAUUCCUUGCGGAGGGCUCUACUUCUGUGGAUUGCUCAGUGUUACAACAACUUCAAGGAUGACAUAUGCGUUCUCUAGAGAUGGUGCCUUACCUCUGUCGCGUUUCUGGCAUAAGCUGAACGGGAAGGAGGUUCCUGGCAACGCAGUUUUCUUGUGCGUUGUCGUGGCCUUCUGUCUGGCUUUACCGUACCUGGCGAGCGAAGUUGCAUUUCAAGCCACGGUGUCUAUCAACACAAUUUCGCUUGAUAUCGCCUAUGGUCUGCCGAUACUGCUUCGCGUUACAUUCGCAAGGCGCAACUUCGUUCGGGGCCCGUUCCACCUCGGAAGAUUUUCGCUCAUCAUUGGCUGGCUGGCUGUUAGCUGGGUGAUGGUGAGCACCGUCUUGUUUUGCCUGCCGGUGGCGUAUCCCGUCACGAUAGAGACGCUCAAUUAUGCUCCGGUCGCACUGGGAGGCGUGUCGAUGUUCACAUUGGGUUACUGGUUUUUAAGUGGGAGGCAUUGGUUCCAAGGACCCGUCCCAAACAUUGGAUCUGCGGAAGCGUAAAGUGGAAGGCGGCGACCCUACGGACAAUGAUGACAAAUCGCGAGCAUUAUGAACUCCGGGAGGCCAGGUCACGCGUGCAUUUCUAAGCAAGAUCUUGUUUUUCCAGGUUCCAUGAAAACAAGGAUUCAGUUUCUCAUAUAUACAGCGAUUUACGAAAAGCAUGCACAUAAUCGCGUUUCUUAAUCUUCCCAAAGCGCGUCUCGACCCGUACCGAUUCGUCUCCUAAAGUUAAGCAUAUAUUUCGAAACUCUGAAGCAGCGAUUUGUAUUUUAUUCCUCUCGCACACAGGAACAGGAACGCGUACUUGCAGCCAUGCCAGCAACCCCAUCGGGAAGAACACGAAGUUUUAACUGCGGCCAUGGACGGAUUCCAAGGAAAAGACCGUGAGCGAGCGCCAGCAGCUCGCAAAAGCGCCAAACAAUCCGCAACAAGCAGGCGAAUAAAAUCCACGAACUUAAGAGAAGUAGCAGCAGCAGCAGCAGCAGCAGUGGCAGGAGCAUAUGUGUGAUUUUUUUCUUAAAUGGAAGCAGCCACCACUUCUGGAAUGGACACACAACACAAUCGACACGGCCUUGUCGUUGGUUCGAACGAAGGCGGGGCAGGCUGCGCUAGAUUACGAUGGCUUGUUAGGUGGCAAGCAAGCGAGCGAGCCGAAAAGCCAUGGAGGCCAGAUGGGCGAUGUUAAAGAACCAAGAAAAAAGGAGGCCGAGAGAGAGAGAGAGAGAGAGAGAGAGAGCUUGCAUUAUGGGAGGGAGUUCCGCUGUGUCACGGUUUUCAACUAUGGCAACAUCAAGCAUCAAGUCCCUCCGAAACGAUCCAAAGAAAAAAAGGAAGGAAAAGACCCGAGUUUCGAUCGAGAUUCUUUAUUCCGGCAAGAAAUUUUCCUGGAUCAUCAAAUCAAAGGAAAAGAAAACCAUAUAAGAAAACAAUGGCAGGAAACGA